RNAcentral lists this ribosomal RNA (554 nucleotides) under Mycobacterium lacus. Its description in RNAcentral is "bacterial SSU rRNA". It matches the Rfam family "Bacterial small subunit ribosomal RNA", at positions 44 to 601 of the family's 1533-position model. Lineage: Bacteria; Bacillati; Actinomycetota; Actinomycetes; Mycobacteriales; Mycobacteriaceae. The record is from RNAcentral.
GUGCUUAACACAUGCAAGUCGAACGGAAAGUUCUUUUCGGAGAUACUCGAGUGGCGAACGGGUGAGUAACACGUGGGUGAUCUGCCCUGCACUUCGGGAUAAGCCUGGGAAACUGGGUCUAAUACCGGAUAGGACCAUGAGAUUCAUGUCUUGUGGUGGAAAGCUUUUGCGGUGUGGGAUGAGCCCGCGGCCUAUCAGCUUGUUGGUGGGGUGACGGCCUACCAAGGCGACGACGGGUAGCCGGCCUGAGAGGGUGUCCGGCCACACUGGGACUGAGAUACGGCCCAGACUCCUACGGGAGGCAGCAGUGGGGAAUAUUGCACAAUGGGCGCAAGCCUGAUGCAGCGACGCCGCGUGGGGGAUGACGGCCUUCGGGUUGUAAACCUCUUUCACCAUCGACGAAGGUCCGGGUUUUCUCGGAUUGACGGUAGAUGGAGAAGAAGCACCGGCCAACUACGUGCCAGCAGCCGCGGUAAUACGUAGGGUGCGAGCGUUGUCCGGAAUUACUGGGCGUAAAGAGCUCGUAGGUGGUUUGUCGCGUUGUUCGUGAAAUC